GAGACAAGAAGGCAUCUUCUUGUUUUUAAAAGACCUAGCAAUAGGUAUGCUUAGGGAGGAGCUUGCGUCACAUUAGUUAGUUGGUGGGGUAAAGGCCUACCAAGACUAUGAUGUGUAGCCGGGCUGAGAGGUUGAACGGCCACAUUGGGACUGAGACACGGCCCAAACUCCUACGGGAGGCAGCAGUAGGGAAUUUUCGGCAAUGGAGGAAACUCUGACCGAGCAACGCCGCGUGAACGAUGAAGUAUUUCGGUACGUAAAGUUCUUUUAUUAGGGAAGAAUAAAUGAUGGAAAAAUCAUUCUGACGGUACCUAAUGAAUAAGCCCCGGCUAACUAUGUGCCAGCAGCCGCGGUAAUACAUAGGGGGCAAGCGUUAUCCGGAAUUAUUGGGCGUAAAGGGUGCGUAGGCGGUUAAAUAAGUUUAUGGUCUAAGUGCAAUGCUCAACAUUGUGAUGCUAUAAAAACUGUUUAGCUAGAGUAAGAUAGAGGCAAGUGGAAUUCCAUGUGUAGUGGUAAAAUGCGUAAAUAUAUGGAGGAACACCAGUAGCGAAGGCGGCUUGCUGGGUCUUUACUGACGCUGAGGCACGAAAGCGUGGGGAGCAAACAGGAUUAGAUACCCUGGUAGUCCACGCCGUAAACGAUGAGUACUAAACGUUGGGUAAAACCAGUGUUGAAGUUAACACAUUAAGUACUCCGCCUGAGUAGUACGUACGCAAGUAUGAAACUUAAAGGAAUUGACGGGACUCCGCACAAGCGGUGGAUCAUGUUGUUUAAUUCGAAGGUACCCGAAAAACCUCACCAGGUCUUGACAUGCUUCUGCAAAGCUGUAGAAACACAGUGGAGGUUAUCAGUUGCACAGGUGGUGCAUGGUUGUCGUCAGCUCGUGUCGUGAGAUGUUGGGUUAAGUCCCGCAACGAGCGCAACCCUUAUUGUUAGUUACCAGCACGUAAUGGUGGGGACUUUAGCAAGACUGCCAGUGAUAAAUUGGAGGAAGGUGGGGACGACGUCAAAUCAUCAUGCCCCUUAUGACCUGGGCUACAAACGUGAUACAAUGGCUGUUACAAAGGGUAGCUGAAGCGCAAGUUUUUGGCGAAUCUCAAAAAAACAGUCUCAGUUCGGAUUGAAGUCUGCAACUCGACUUCAUGAAGUUGGAAUCGCUAGUAAUCGCGAAUCAGCAUGUCGCGGUGAAUACGUUCUCGGGGUUUGUACACACCGCCCGUCAAACCACGAAAGUUGGUAAUACCCAAAG
Molecule: ribosomal RNA, 1249 nt
Filed under: 'Hishimonus phycitis' 16SrVI phytoplasma
Lineage: Bacteria; Bacillati; Mycoplasmatota; Mollicutes; Acholeplasmatales; Acholeplasmataceae
Description: bacterial SSU rRNA
Rfam family: Bacterial small subunit ribosomal RNA
Source: RNAcentral